Molecule: long non-coding RNA, 6493 nt
Filed under: Salmo salar (Atlantic salmon)
Lineage: Eukaryota; Metazoa; Chordata; Actinopteri; Salmoniformes; Salmonidae
Description: lncRNA (ENSSSAG00000087380.1)
Source: RNAcentral
ACUAAAAGAAUAAAUUUUAUUUCAGCACUGUAAGUCGUUUCUCAACCGUACAAACACGACCACCAUCUUUACAUCAUCAAGCCUCUCCUCCUGUUCCAGUCUUCCUUUGUGAAAUCACUUCCUCCACAGCCAGACGAAUAUAAAAGGGCUCUCUCCACAACAUUCUGGUGCUUCCAUUUUAGCUAACGAUGACAAAUUAUACCGAUCAUAAUUAUAACAGCAAUAAUAGUAGUGAUGAAGAUGAACCUUUUACUGCACUGUUGUUUUGAGGGGGGAGGGGGCUUACAGUACAUGAUACAGUACACAUUACUGCUGGUUUACAGUUGAUGUAUUACAUGUGUUACAGUUGCUUCAGAAGGCGUUGGUACAGAUACUCACAGACUCGACACCUGUAUGAUGUUAUAUCAUCAUCAUGUGACCUGAACUGACCGCUCACUCCAUAUCCUCCCUAGCUGCAUCCCAAAUAGCAUCCUAUUCCCUUUCUAGUACACUACUCAUGACCAGGACCCUGCACCACAAGGUCAAAAGUAGUGCACUAUUAUAAGGAAUGGAGUGAAAUUUGCAAUGUAAUCAACUGUCUUUAUUACCUGUAAGCCUAUCUAGUCUGGACCACCAGGCAGUGUAGCCAUACAUGUACUGAAACCUUAUAACACAGUCCUACAGUAACCAAUACAGCUCUGUUCUACUCAUCACAAAACUCCACUCUAUAAGGGGUAAACCAAUCACACGUGCUGUGAUGUCAUCAUAGAAUCGCUCUCAUGAUAGGCCAUUGUAUUUUUCUGGGGACUUCCAACUCUGUGCAAAGUACAGCUUCACUUGAGUCGACCAUGAAAUCUUUAUAAAGGGACGUUAAUAAUACGAGAAUAUACGAACGUAGUGCAGAAACGAUUAUCAUUUAAAAAGCUUUUGACGGGCGAUAUUUAACUGACAUAGUAACAACGACAAGGUGAUCUUUAAAAUGAUUUAUGGCAUAUCAAAUACCAAGAAGGAUCAUCGUUAAUGGUUCCAAUAUAAAUCUCUAUGUUUGGCUAAAGCCUCUUAGAACUAACGGUUGCUUUGAUAGAUAGAAGGGGUUAGAAGACAUUAAAAAGAGUAAGAAAAAAAAAGUGAAGCACAAUUGAAUAAAACAGAUUUUUUUUGUUGCAGACUCUGGCUAGUUUACAAAGAGAAACUGAUCAUCAAUAAUAACAUCGUUCACAAAGAGAAACUGAUCAUCAAUAAUAACAUAGCCUCUACUGUUAGUGUGGGUGGUUAGGGGCGGGGUCAGAAAACAGCCAAUAGAAAUGGUCCUAGAGGAAACAGAUAAGGGCUGAUACAGUGAUCCAUCCAUCGGACAGACUGCCUGUGUCGGACAGACUGCCUGUGUCGGACAGACUGCCUGUGUCGGACAGACUGCCUGUGUCGGACAGACUGUUGGUGAAAGGGUGUAAAGACUGUUGGUGAAAGGGUGUAAAGACUGUUGGUGAAAGGGUGUAAAGACUGUUGGUGAAAGGGUGUUGGUGAAAGGGUGUUGGUGAAAGGGUGUUGGUGAAAGGGUGUUGGUGAAAGGGUGUAAAGACUGUACUCUAUGGGCUGCUUUAAAGCGGAACGACCUAAUGAGGGGGACAGAGGGAGGAAGAGAGCGAGAACGGUGAAGACGGGGGUGAAGAGAGAGGUGGGGUUGAAGGGCGAGGUGAAGAGAGAGGUGGGGUUGAAGGGCGAGGAGGGGGGUGAAGAGAGAGGUGGGGUUGAAGGGCGAGGGGGGUGAAGAGAGAGGUGGGGUUGAAGGGCGAGGGGUGAAGAGAGAGGUGGGGUUGAAGGGCGAGGUGGGGUUGAAGGGCAAGGGGGGGGUGAAGAGAGAGGUGGGGUUGAAGGGCGGGGGGGGGGGGUGAAGAGAGAGGUGGGGUUGAAGGGCGAGGGGGGGUGAAGAGAGAGGUGGGGUUGAAGGGCGAGGUGAAGAGAGGUGGGGUUGAAGGGCGAGGGUGAAGAGAGAAGGGAUGUUGGUAUAUAGAGGAAUAUUAAAAUAAGCAAUAAAAUCACUGAUCAAUAAAAUCUAAUACAACUAAAUCAGACACGGAUAACAAUGGGAGAGUAAUUAUGUUGUUGUUGACUUUAUCCAUACUAGCUAGUGUCUAACUCAGGGUGUGACAUCAAUGUGUGUGUGUGUGUGUGUGUGUGUGUGUGUGUGUGUGUGUGUGUGUGUGUGUGUGUGUGUGAGUGUGUGUGUGUGUGUGUGUGUGUGUGUGUGUGUGUGUGAGUGUGUGUGUGUGUGUGUGUGAGUGUGUGUGUGUGUGUGUGCACGUACUCUUACGAGUGAGUCAAGAGGGAUGUGUGUGUGUCAGACUGCAGCUCGGUACAACUGUAGAGUUACCAAGUGUCUCUGCUUCACCCACAGACAGUAACUGACGAGGAACAGCAACAUCACUUCAGCACAAACACAGAGAGGGCUGGUAACAACUACUGUGUGUGUGUGUGAGUAAGUAUUCUUACGAGUGAGUCGACAGGGAUGUGCGUAAUUUUGCCAGCUAGCGGAGCGACUUAAGUUAGGCCCACUCCUCCUCCUGGCUGAACAGAAAUAGUCAUGACCUGCAGUGUCCCGUCAUCUUAUUGUGCUACAGUAACGUCAUGUGAAAAGGUUAAAGCAUUAUUCAUGGAGUGCAAAUUCCGUCACAAUAUUGUUUAGAACGUUCGUUUUGAACUGAUGCACGACUGAGCAUUCUACUCAAUGAGCGCCGAUGAAGAUUUCAUCAAAAGUGCAUUACAGUGGCUUGGGAAUACAAUGACACUCAAAAGGAGGCAAAUAAUUAGUAGGAAAACCUUUUGAUGUCGCCAGAUUGACUUUAGAUACAGUAUAACGUUAGCUAGCUAGCUAAGAUUGAGGUGAGGCCACCAGAUAGACUUUAGAUACAGUAUAACAUUAGCAAGCUAAGAUUGAGGGGAGACGACCAGAUUGACUUUAGAUGCAGUAUAACAUUAGCUAGCUAGCUAAGAUAGAGGUGAGGCCACCAGAUAGACUUUAAAUGCAGUGUAACGUUAGCUAGCUAGCCACCAGAUUGACUUUAGAUGCAGUGUAACGUUAGCUAGCUAGCCACCAGAUUGACUUUAGAUGCAGUGUAACGUUAGCUAGCUAGCCACCAGAUUGACUUUAGAUGCAGUGUAACGUUAGCUAGCUAGCCACCAGAUUGACUUUAGAUGCAGUGUAACGUUAGCUAGCUAAAAUGGAGGUGAGGCCAUUUUUUUUAUUAGGUUUUUGACAAACUUUGCUAGCUAAUGACAACAUUGCAAUCAAAGUAAAUUUGAAGGCAUGAUAACGCUUGCAAACUUUUUCCUACUAAAUACUUGACUACUUUAGCAAUGUCAUUGUAUUUCCAGAAUUACUUUUUUUUAAUCGCAACUUUAGGGCGCCGCCGAUAGAGGCCUGCUUGAGAACGUUCACAACAAUGGCAUGAUGCGACAUAGUGAGGGAGGUGCAUCCUAUGAAUAUGUACUCUCUGUGUGUGUGUGUGUAUAUAUAUAAAAAAUAUAUGAGUCGUAGUCGUUCAGUCAUGCUGGGUAUUAUAUGACCAGUGGGGCUCUUCUCUAGCCAGUCUAGGGGUUCAAAUCUGUCUGCUAGAUAGCCCUGAGACGACUGGAUUAAAAGACUGUUGUUGUUCUCAAUACUUCAUGUGGGAUUAAGAUCCAAAGUCUCGUUUUACAACAACCAUCAGAAGGCAGAGAUGAUUUGCUUGUAAACAGUUCCACAACCCUUGCACGCCAUGGAGUCUUGAGCCGCAGCUUUCCAAAAUCAUUUUGGUUGAAGUGUAUUUAGAUGUUAUGUUUGCUUUGGCAACUUUGGGCUUUGUGGGGCUAUGUAGAUGCUACUAAGGUAGUUGUGGUUGGAACUGGACUAUUUAGCAGACAGAAUGUCACCCUUUCUGUUUGUGUUUUAACUACAGUCCUGUAGAGUUUAGUCCAAUACUGUUACUACUGUCCUACAACUACAGUAACAACACUCCUAACAAUUCUCUGUACGCUUCAGCAAGUCAUAUCAAUAACCAGCCAUCAAUAAGACCCUGGUUUUCAUUUGGUAGUUGUUUGUUGACAAGUUAACGGGCCGUUUGUUGUGUCUCAGUGUAACGGAUCUUAACGGUGGGCUCAGUGAUUUAAAUAUCAACACUGACUGUGUACCCUAUGAGUAUAAGGCUGAAGAUCAACAACAGAGGCAGUCUUGUGGAAUCCUUAGGUUCUUCACAGGAACGAAGAGGAUCAGUCAGAAUGUAGGGAAUAGGGUGCCAUUUCAUCUGGGCAGGGUUUCCUUCAGUUAAACAGUUAAGAUUUUAGACCAGCGUUUCCCCAACUCAGUCACCCCCCCCCUCUCCCGGGUGCACCUUUUGGUUCUGACCCAGCACUACACAGCUGAUUCAAUAACCAACUCAUCGGCAAGCUUUGAUUAUUUGAAUCAGUUGUGUAGUGCUAGGGGGGGGGGGGAAACCCCUUGGCGUCCCCAGGUACGAGUUUGGGAAACAUUGUCUUAGGCCUAACCAUCAGAUAGAUAGAGCAUCAAGUCUUUGACAUGGUCUCCUUCUGUUGCCUUGCCUUGUCAGGGGUUCAUAUAGGGUGCCUCCCAAAUGGUACCCCAUUCCCUAUAUAGUGCACUACUUUUGACCAAAGCCCUAUGGGGGUAGCCCUAUGGGCCAUAAACAGAACUAGUGCAGUAGAAGGACUAGGAGUCCUUUGGGCAGCAUCCAUGUCCCUACGCUGGUUAAAUUGAGUUGAUUCAGUCCAUGUUAUUUCUACAGAUGUCCAGGAGACAGACAGAUCAAUCCUACUACUCUGCUCUGUCGUCUACUAACAUUAAAACAAGACAAUACUCUGAUUCCUCUCAGAGCACACCUAUUAAGGGAAUACUUAUUUUGUCCUCUAUCAUAAUUAUAAAACUAUUUAGGAUCUUUAGAUUGUGGGCAGAACAUUCAUGUGUUCCCACCCCAAACCCCUGCUGAUUGUGGAGGUAGUUUGGGGGAAGUGCUUCUUGUUGUUGGUUAAAGAGCUGAGAACGGCUGUGCUAUCGCCGUGGCGACUGCUAACCAAUCACCAGGCGGGGUUGGGGAGGCGGUGCUACCAGGCCUGUCCUGAUUGGCCAGCCAGCUGACAGGGCUGGUGUGGGUCUAUGCUUUGGGACUUCAUCAGGUCUUGUCUAUAACGGCAACCUACCCCCCAUAAUGCACUGCUUCUGAUGAACAGGAGUAGUAGUGCACCAUGUAGGAAAUAGGGUGCCAUUUGAGACGUGCCAGUCAGAGGGGCAGCACUCUGACCCCCGACGUGGCACCAUGUUUGUCCUGACUGUGUUUUAACCUGUUAGGGGAUCCAGUGGGACUCUUCUGAAGACCACUGCUCACAUUUAAACAGCUAUUGUUAACAAGGGGCAUAUUAACACACAAAGGAGUCUCUAAAUGUGUCUAAUGUUAAAAUAGAUCUCUAGAGGUCAAAGAAAUGUCCUAGGUCACAGGGGAACCCUAUCAGACAGACUGUCAAUUCAUCAAUAAUCACAAUGAAUGCAACAUUAGUUAAGUGCUCCCCAUUGGGAUAUAUAAUAAGAGCAUAGGGGAUAAUGCAGUAAUAUAAUAUAGGGGUAAGAGCUUCCAUACGUUGGAGCGUCAGGUUAAGGUGCGUACAUAAAUCUGUGGUCAAGGGGGUCUCAACACGGCUGGGCUAGGCUAAAUUAGCAUGCUACCAUAUUAACGUAAGUGCUAAUGUUAUUCAAGGGUCUGGCCUACGUUAGCAUGCUAACGCAUUAGCGGUGCAAAUGCUACUGAAGGGGCUAAGCUAUACACCGACGCUCAGGGUAAUAUUUUAUAUUUUUGAUGUAACUUUUAUUUAACUAGACAAGUCAGUUAAGAACAAAUUCUUAUUUACAAUGAUGGCCUACCGGGGAACAGUGGGUUAACUGCCUUGUUCAGGGGCAGAACGACAGAUUUUUACCUUGUUAGCUCGGGGAUUCGAUCCAGUAACCUUUCGGAUACUAGCCCAACACUUUAACCACUAGGCUACUUGCCGCCCAGGUAGUGUUGUGAUUAGCAAAACAACGCAGCGUAGCUAAUACAGAUGGGUCUGGAGGGAGGGGUUAGAGGCGCGGCUAACGCUAAUAGAUCAUUAUCGGUGGUGUAUUUAGCAAACGCCAUGUCAUCCUCCUCUUCCUCUCUGACCUCACAUGGAACACCGCUUGCCACGAGGUCCCUAUGGCAACCAUUUACAUCUGUGGUCAUGGGGUCUCAACACGGCUGGGCAACUAAACUUGUAAUGGCUACCAAGCCGAGGAACUAACAGACUAGCCAACACUGUGUGUUUAGUGUCGACGUUACUGUGCGUGUAAACCCACUAUUACUACCACUAAACACUGUAGUUCCAAGUCUAACUGUGCGGACCUCGGUAGGGGAGUGUAGAUCACAUCAUCCCAUUUCAAUUCACAAUAAAUUUGACCACUAGGAAGGGAUCAUUACAACAUGAGACAGUGUGCUGGGGCUACAACAGCCAUGUG